AAGCUUUUUAAAGUCAGUAAUGCCUGGCACUCACUUUGAAUCUCUUCCAAUUCUGCAGGUGAAAUCCUUGAAUCCUUAAGCUGUUAUAUAUUCCCUUGAUGAGUGCAUAUCACUAAAGCAAAUGCUUGAAUCUCAGAGUUAACCAGCUGGAAGGGUCGGUAUUUCAGCACGUCACUUUCCAGGAUACUCCCACCUAGGGAUUGCAGGUAGUUUCUUGUCCUACAAUUCUUUCCUAUUGUCAGUCGGCUUGAAAUAUUUAUUUGCCCUCAAUACCCUGGGGGCAGGGUGUCUCCUAGCUAAGAUGCCUGGGAAACUACUGCAGAAGCAAGUGACACUGAAUCAGCUUCAAUUCAUCUUCUGAGGAUGAUGAAUAAGGACAUGUACGCAGUGUAGAGUCUUGGAAGCAAAAUGUAUCUAUUGAUAGGUCUUUUGUUUUCAGCUUCUUUUCAGCUUUACCAUUUCCAUUCCUUUCUAUACUAACAGGUUACUUUCCACAGAGGAUGUUUGACCUAACUUAGGUGGCAUUUUAAACAUUUUGGUUCAAAUUUUGCUGCAGUAAAUGGGUAACUUUGGUGUAAAGAGAAUGUUGACUCUAUCUGUUCAUCUGGAAUUUGGGGUGGCUCCUCUAUUUUGCUGCUUCCCUCGACCAAACAAAAAAUUCUCUGUCCUAGGACCUGUUUUAAGUCAGUCAUAAGACUGGCAGAAAAUCAAACCAAAUCUAAAUGAAUGGCUGUUGAACUUAAUCUCCCAUCUUGAACCUGUGUGUGCCAUGGAAUAGCCUGCUUGUAUUAAUAAGCACAAUUCAGAUCAGAAUUACUGCUCUGUGGUCCUGUUCAUCAGAAUUUCAUAAUGCAACUAGAGAUUCUCAUACUAAUUGAAGUAAGUUCAAAGGAGAAAGACAGAUACCAUAUGGUAUCACUUACAUGUGCAAUCUAAAAUGUGGCACCACAUGAACCUAUCUAGAAAACAGAAAGACUCACAGACAUGGAGAACAGACUUGUGGUUGCCAAGGGAGAGGGAGGAGGGAGUGGAAUGGGGAGGGAGUUUGGGGUUAGUAGAUGCAAACUAUUACAUUUAGAAUGGAUGGACAAUAAGGUCCUACUGUAUAGCAAGGGAAACUGUGUCGAAUCUCCUGGGAUAGACUAUGAUGGAAAGAAUAUUUUAAAAAGAAUGUAAAUAUAUGUAUGGCUUAGUUACUUUACUGUACAGCAGAAAUUGGCACAACAUUGUAAACUGACUAUAAUAAAAAAUUAAAAGAACAAACAAAAGAAUUUCUGCUGUGGGAGAAGGUGACACAGGAGAAUAAUUAACCAUGUAUUUAUUUAUUUUUUUUCCUUUUAGGGCUGUACUUGUGGCAUAUGGAAGUUCCCAGGCUACAGGUCGAAUCAGAGCUGCAGCUGCUGGCCUACACCACAACCACAGCAAUGCCAUAUCUGAGCUGCAUCUUCAAACUGCACCACAGCUCACCACAGAUACUUAGCCCACUGGGCAAGGCCAGGGAUCAAAUUUGCAUCCUCGUGGAUACUAGUUGGGUUAGUAACCUGAUGAGCCACAAUGGGAACUCCCAGCGUAUUUAAACUUUUAAAAGGGGUUACUAAACAAUAUGUCCUAGAUAAUUCCAAUACCGUUCAUUAUGUACAUAGAGAAUUACAGGAAGAAACACCCAAAUGUUAACCUUAAGGAAUAGAAUAAUCGAUAGUUUGAUUUAAUUUGUUUGCUUUUCAAAAUACUCCUAAAUGAAAAGUAUUACCUCUGUCUCAGAUAAAUUAAUUUUUAAAGAAAAAGUGGUUUAUAAUACCAAUACACCAGAAUCAAAAUGUGCAACAGAUACACCUAAAAAAUAGAGCUAAUUAUAAUUCUUGCUGAUGAAAGCCACUGUAGAUUUUUCUCUUGCUUGGCAUACAUCACUUGUUCUUUCUUUAAAAACAAACAAACAAACAGGUCCUGGAUGCUUGCGAGUAAAUGAAUAAUACAUGUAUGGCUCCUGCCUUCCUGGAACUAACUAACUAACUAACCUUCUAGUAGAGAUAGAAGGAUAAGCUGACAGCAAAACCAGCAUGUCACAGCCGAGAACAGUUUCAUGCAUUCCCCAUCAGGCAGUGCGCUCGGCAGUCCCACAGGUGUCCCUCGCUUCAACAGUGUUUCAAUGGAACAGACCCAGGUAGACCCCUUCCUCCAGCCUCUGACCACCCUCCAAACUUUUUUCCAAUCGAAACUUUCAGAGGUAGUCACUCAGCUAUCCUUGGCCUCUGUGACCAGCUAACAUCAUUUUCGGAGCUUAACUCAUUAUUAUGGAUCAACUCUGGGCUUCCAGAUGCAUCAGAAUUAUUCUUGCCAGGUGGAGGCCACUCUCAGCCGCCUGGUCAACCUCCAUCAGGGGGCCUCCCACACCUGCCUCUCUCUGGGCUAUUUCAUCCGCAACAAUGUAGCUCUAGAGGGUGUGGACCACUUUUUUUUUUUUAUGGAGAAUUGGCCAAGGAGAAGUGCAAGGGCACCAAGCACCUCUUAAAAAUGCAAAACCAGCAAGGCAGCUCCAUCCUCUUCCAGAAAGAAGCCAUCUCAGGAUGUGUGGGGUAAAACCCAGGAUGCUAUGGGGUUUAGCUGCCAUGGUCCUGGGAGGGAACCCGAACCAUGCCCUUUUGGAUCCACAUGCCCAGGGUUCUGCCUGAGCAGACCCCCCACCUCUGUGACCUCCUGGAGAGCCACGUCCUAGAGGAGCAGGCAAAGAUCGGAGACCACUUGACCAACUUCUGCAGGAUGGCUGGUCCCCAGGCUGAGCUGGAUGAGUAUCUCUUGGAAAGGCUCACCCUCAAGCAGGACUAGGAGCCUCUGGAGCCCAGCGGCCUUUGAGGAGCCCCUCUGGUGUGAGAGUUUCUGCCUAAAGCCCCAUCCUGCAGCCAGUAGUCACUUUUUAACCACCCUGGAGCCCUCUCCCCAGCCUUGGACCAAAUGGAAACAAAGUUUUUUCAACAAACAAACAAACAAACAAACAAUUUCAUGCAUUCCCUAUCAAAACACCCAACCCUCCUUUUGCAGAUUCAGUUCUGGCCUUGGUACAUCUGCUGACAAUCCUGUUGGACUCUCACACUGCUGGUCAGUGCUUCAUGAGCCUCAUCUCCAUCAUCCACACAAUAGUUUUAACUUAUUAGAGCAGUGUUCUAUAUUUCGAAAAUUUACUUGCUCUUAUUUUAUAAAAAUGAAAGUGCAAAUACUAGUUACAGGAAAUGUAGAUUUUAUAAAUGUAAUUUACAUAAGAUGAAAUCCUUAGGUGUGCCCGAGGCACUGCAUCUCUAGCCUCAACCAGACAUUCAUUCAUGAGACGAAGGCCAGCAAAGUGAGUAAAGGAAAGAAGAGAAUCAGAGAACAAGUACAGAAUCCUGGAAGUUUUCCUUGUUCAAGCUAAAAUUUUAGCUGUGUUUAGAGAUUUUGCUUUUGCUUUAGCUUUGUGGGAAAGGAUUCCUCCUAAAAUGAGUAAAUUUAUUGUUUGAUUUCUAGAUACAUUUGCAGAUGUGCUUUAUGUUUGAACGUUGAGGAUGGCCUUUGCUGGUUCACCAUUGCCUACAGAACAUAUUCUAAAUCAUUUAUUACAUCAGUGAUGUUAACAUCCACAAGUUAUACUGAU
Molecule: long non-coding RNA, 3622 nt
Filed under: Sus scrofa (pig)
Lineage: Eukaryota; Metazoa; Chordata; Mammalia; Artiodactyla; Suidae
Description: lncRNA (ENSSSCG00030035522.1)
Rfam family: mir-692 microRNA precursor family (bases 2745-2827)
Source: RNAcentral